RNAcentral lists this ribosomal RNA (468 nucleotides) under uncultured bacterium. Its description in RNAcentral is "partial 16S ribosomal RNA". It matches the Rfam family "Bacterial small subunit ribosomal RNA", at positions 28 to 507 of the family's 1533-position model. The record is from RNAcentral.
GACGAACGCUGGCGGCGUGCUUAACACAUGCAAGUCGAACGGAAAGGCCCUGCUUUUGUGGGGUGCUCGAGUGGCGAACGGGUGAGUAACACGUGAGUAACCUGCCCUUGACUUUGGGAUAACUUCAGGAAACUGGGGCUAAUACCGGAUAGGAGCUCCUGCUGCAUGGUGGGGGUUGGAAAGUUUCGGCGGUUGGGGAUGGACUCGCGGCUUAUCAGCUUGUUGGUGGGGUAGUGGCUUACCAAGGCUUUGACGGGUAGCCGGCCUGAGAGGGUGACCGGCCACAUUGGGACUGAGAUACGGCCCAGACUCCUACGGGAGGCAGCAGUGGGGAAUAUUGCACAAUGGGCGGAAGCCUGAUGCAGCAACGCCGCGUGCGGGAUGACGUCCUUCGGUUUGUAAACCGCUUUCGCCUGUGACGAAGCGUGAGUGACGGUAAUGGGUAAAGAAGCACCGGCUAACUACGUG